AUGAACUACUUCCCAGAACUAUUGAUUGCACUUUUUGUAAUGUUUGGAGAAAGCAAUGGAGACUCAGUGACUCAGACAAAAGGCCAAGUGACACUCUUUGAAGGGACCUCUCUGACUGUGAACUGUUCCUAUGAAACCAAACAGUACCCAGCCCUGUUCUGGUACGUGCAGUAUCCCGGAGAAGGUCCAAAGCUCCUCUUCAAAGUCUCAAAGGCCAACGAGAAGGGAAGCAGCGGAGGUUUUGAAGCUACAUAUGAUGAAGGAUCCACUUCCUUCCACUUGCAGAAGUCCUCAGUCCAAGAGUCAGAUUUGGCUGUGUACUACUGUGCUCUGGGUGCCACAGUAUGCUUAAAUUUUUGGACUCCUUUUGGUUAA
Microtus ochrogaster (prairie vole) is the source of this 375-nucleotide non-coding RNA. NCBI's taxonomy places the organism in Eukaryota, Metazoa, Chordata, Mammalia, Rodentia, Cricetidae. The record is from the annotation of a RefSeq genome assembly.